UACGAAGGGGGCUAGCGUUGCUCGGAAUCACUGGGCGUAAAGCGCACGUAGGCGGAUUGCUAAGUCAGGGGUGAAAUCCUGGAGCUCAACUCCAGAACUGCCUUUGAUACUGGCGACCUUGAGUCCGGGAGAGGUGAGUGGAACUGCGAGUGUAGAGGUGAAAUUCGUAGAUAUUCGCAAGAACACCAGUGGCGAAGGCGGCUCACUGGACCGGUACUGACGAUGAGGUGCGAAAGCGUGGGGAGCAAACAGG
Molecule: ribosomal RNA, 253 nt
Filed under: uncultured bacterium
Lineage: Bacteria
Description: partial 16S ribosomal RNA
Rfam family: Bacterial small subunit ribosomal RNA
Source: RNAcentral